Molecule: long non-coding RNA, 206 nt
Filed under: Elaeis guineensis (African oil palm)
Lineage: Eukaryota; Viridiplantae; Streptophyta; Magnoliopsida; Arecales; Arecaceae
Description: long non-coding RNA (EGUI_LNC010546)
Source: RNAcentral
GAUGUAUUGAAGGAGGUUGUUCAAUCAAAGAAGUGACAGUUGCAAUUGGCAUUUGAGUUAGAGAAGAAGUUGCUCUCGAGGUUGGUGAUAUGGAUUAGGUCGAGGAAGGGGCAACAACAGUGAGGGAAGGAUAAAAAGAGAUUUAGUCGAGAAAAAGGUGGGAGAGGAGGGAGUGAAUGCUAAUAUUGUGGUCAGUGAUGGCAACG